GGCGAUGAUGGAUAGCUGGUCUGAGAGACGAUCAGCCACACUGGGACUGAGACACGGCCAGACUCCGUACGGGAGGCAGCAGGUGGGAAUCUUGCGCAAGUGGACGAAGUCUGACGCAGCAACGCCGCGUGAGUGAUGAAGGUCUUUGGAUCGUAAAGCUCUUUCGGGAGGGAAGAAAUGGUUGUGCGCUAAUACCGCACAGCCUUGACGGUACCUUCAGAAGAAGCACCGGCUAACUCUGUGCCAGCAGCCGCGGUAAUACAGAGGGUGCAAGCGUUGUUCGGAAUCAUUGGGCGUAAAGCGAGUGUAGGCGGUCGAAAAGGUCGGGUGUGAAAUCCCAGGGCUUAACCCUGGAACUGCAUUCGAAACCGUUCGACUUGAGUACGGGAGAGGGUCGUGGAAUUGUCGGUGUAGAGGUGAAAUUCGUAGAUAUCGGCAAGAACAUCAGUGGCGAAGGCGACGACCUGGUCCGAUACUGACGCUCAGACUCGAAAGCGUGGG
Molecule: ribosomal RNA, 501 nt
Filed under: uncultured bacterium
Lineage: Bacteria
Description: bacterial SSU rRNA
Rfam family: Bacterial small subunit ribosomal RNA
Source: RNAcentral